GCCCUUAUCGUCUAGAGGCCAAGGACAUCUCCCUUUCACGGAGGAAACAGGGAUUCAAAUUCCCUUAAGGGUA
RNAcentral lists this transfer RNA (73 nucleotides) under Dinophyceae sp. TGD. RNAcentral describes it as "tRNA-Glu". It matches the Rfam family "tRNA". Rfam says of the family: Transfer RNA (tRNA) molecules are approximately 80 nucleotides in length. The record is from RNAcentral. Lineage: Eukaryota; Dinophyceae.